This 497-nucleotide ribosomal RNA is filed under the name uncultured bacterium. Its description in RNAcentral is "partial 16S ribosomal RNA". It matches the Rfam family "Bacterial small subunit ribosomal RNA", at positions 28 to 507 of the family's 1533-position model. The record is from RNAcentral.
GAUGAACGCUGGCGGCGUGCCUAAUACAUGCAAGUCGAGCGAACAGAUAAGGAGCUUGCUCCUUUGAAGUUAGCGGCGGACGGGUGAGUAACACGUGGGUAACCUACCUAUAAGACUGGGAUAACUUCGGGAAACCGGAGCUAAUACCGGAUAACAUCUAGAACCGCAUGGUUCUAAAGUGAAAGAUGGUUUUGCUAUCACUUAUAGAUGGACCCGCGCCGUAUUAGCUAGUUGGUAAGGUAACGGCUUACCAAGGCGACGAUACGUAGCCGACCUGAGAGGGUGAUCGGCCACACUGGAACUGAGACACGGUCCAGACUCCUACGGGAGGCAGCAGUAGGGAAUCUUCCGCAAUGGGCGAAAGCCUGACGGAGCAACGCCGCGUGAGUGAUGAAGGGUUUCGGCUCGUAAAACUCUGUUAUUAGGGAAGAACAAAUGUGUAAGUAACUGUGCACAUCUUGACGGUACCUAAUCAGAAAGCCACGGCUAACUACGUG